RNAcentral lists this ribosomal RNA (503 nucleotides) under uncultured bacterium. RNAcentral describes it as "bacterial SSU rRNA". It matches the Rfam family "Bacterial small subunit ribosomal RNA", at positions 32 to 507 of the family's 1533-position model. The record is from RNAcentral.
AAUCAACGCUGGCGGCGUGCUUAACACAUGCAAGUCGAGCGCGAAAGCGGCUUCGGUCGUUAGUAGAGCGGCGGACGGGUGAGGAACACGUGGGUAACCUACCCUCGGGUGGGGAAUAACCCAGGGAAACCUGGGCUAAUUCCGCAUAACAUCUUUAGCUCACAAGAGUUUUAGAUCAAAGCUGGGGACCCUUCGGGGCCUGGCGCCUGUGGAGGGGCCCGCGGCCGAUUAGCUUGUUGGUGAGGUAACGGCUCACCAAGGCUCCGAUCGGUAGCCGGCCUAAGAGGGCGGACGGCCACACUGGGACUGAGACACGGCCCAGACUCCUACGGGAGGCAGCAGUGGGGAAUUUUUGUCAAUGGGGGAAACCCUGAACAAGCAACGCCGCGUGGAGGACGAAGACCCUCGGGUCGUAAACUCCUGUCGGAGGGGACGAAAGCGGUUGCGGUUAAUACCCGUAGUCGUUGACGGUACCCUACGAGGAAGCCCCGGCUAACUCCGUG